Molecule: ribosomal RNA, 381 nt
Filed under: uncultured Serratia sp.
Lineage: Bacteria; Pseudomonadati; Pseudomonadota; Gammaproteobacteria; Enterobacterales; Yersiniaceae
Description: bacterial SSU rRNA
Rfam family: Bacterial small subunit ribosomal RNA
Source: RNAcentral
GCACAAGCGGUGGAGCAUGUGGUUUAAUUCGAUGCAACGCGAAGAACCUUACCUACUCUUGACAUCCAGAGAACUUUCCAGAGAUGGAUUGGUGCCUUCUGGGCAACUCUGAGUACAAGUGCUGCAUGGCUGUCGUCAGCUCGUGUUGUGAAAUGUUGGGUUAAGUCCCGCAACGAGCGCAACCCUUAUCCUUUGUUGCCAGCGAUUCGGCCGGGAACCCAAAGGAGACUGCCAGUGAUAAACUGGAGGAAGGUGGGGAUGACGUCAAGUCAUCAUGGCCCUUACGAGUAGGGCUACACACGUGCUACAAUGGCAUAUACAAAGAGAAGCGACCUCGCGAGAGCAAGCGGACCUCAUAAAGUAUGUCGUAGUCCGGAUUGG